RNAcentral lists this small RNA (125 nucleotides) under Marmota monax (woodchuck). The record is from RNAcentral. Lineage: Eukaryota; Metazoa; Chordata; Mammalia; Rodentia; Sciuridae.
GCUGGGCGCAGUGGCACACGCCUGUAAUCCCAGUGGCUUGGGAGGCUGAGGCAGGAGAAUGGAGAGUUCAAAGCCAUCCUCAGCAAUGGUGAGGCACUAAGCAACUCAGUGAAACCCUGUCUCUA